RNAcentral lists this long non-coding RNA (211 nucleotides) under Elaeis guineensis (African oil palm). RNAcentral's name for it is "long non-coding RNA (EGUI_LNC042201)". Lineage: Eukaryota; Viridiplantae; Streptophyta; Magnoliopsida; Arecales; Arecaceae. The record is from RNAcentral.
GAAUGCUGAAUUAAAUUUUUAGUUAGAUUUAUGGCACUUGUAUUGUCACAUUUUAUUGGAAUCUUACUAUGAGUCAUACCAUAGUCUUCUAGUUAUUGUUUGAUCUAUACAAAUUAUGCACAACAACUUCCAACCACAUUGUAUUCAGCUUUAGCUGUAGAUAAUGCCACUGAAUUUAAUUUUUUUGCUGAACUAUGAGAUCAAAGUAACA